UCCCUGGUGGCUCAGUGGUAAAGAAUCUGCCUGCAACGAAGGAGACCCAGGUUCGAUUCCUGGGUUGGGAA
This 71-nucleotide transfer RNA is filed under the name Bos taurus (domestic cattle). It matches the Rfam family "tRNA". Rfam says of the family: Transfer RNA (tRNA) molecules are approximately 80 nucleotides in length. Lineage: Eukaryota; Metazoa; Chordata; Mammalia; Artiodactyla; Bovidae. The record is from Rfam by way of RNAcentral. RNAcentral also lists the same sequence under 4 other names.